Molecule: transfer-messenger RNA, 303 nt
Filed under: Acidobacteria bacterium RBG_16_68_9
Lineage: Bacteria; Pseudomonadati; Acidobacteriota
Description: partial transfer-messenger RNA
Rfam family: transfer-messenger RNA
About the family: Bacterial tmRNA, also known as 10Sa RNA or SsrA, is named for its dual tRNA and mRNA-like properties. Its role is to liberate the mRNA from a stalled ribosome.
Source: RNAcentral
GCGAAACCUAAACGCAGACCAACCUUUUUCUCUGGCUGCCUAAUCGCAACCAGCGUCUGACCGGUCCGAGCCCGUAGGGUCGAAUCAGGCGUCGCAAAUCGGGAUAAGCCCCGCUCUCUGCUCGGAAGAUCGGGGACGAAAACCGCACGAGCUGGUUCCGCCGUAUCCUGCCCGUAAAACCCUCCGAAGCUUUAGCGUAGGAGGGUGGGAGACGGCGGGGCGAGAGCAAAACACGAGGCUACGCACGUAGUGACCGAGGUGGAUCACUUUCGGACGGGGGUUCGAUUCCCCCCGCCUCCACUC